Long non-coding RNA from Gavialis gangeticus (Gharial), 3308 nucleotides. RefSeq lists it as uncharacterized. The transcript has 2 exons. Lineage: Eukaryota; Metazoa; Chordata; Crocodylia; Gavialidae. The record is from RefSeq and is a predicted model, not a curated record.
UCUCACGUAGAUGCACCCACUGGUACCAGUCUUAGACUGGUGUAAAUCAGGAGUAGCCCUUUUGAAAUAAAUAGAUUUGCCCAGGAAAAACACUGGUAUAUGUGAAAGGAGAAUUAUACCCUAUGCUUGUAUGGAGGUUGUGGAGUGAUUCAAGCAUAUUCCUUUUGACAGUACUUCACUGACUCAGUAUUUGGUUGUUCAACUUUAAUUGUGUGUUCAUGGUAGAUUGUAUGUACGUAUGCAUGCAAGCAUGCGCAUUCACAUCUGUGGGUAUGGAUAAAUACAAAUACCAUUUCAGUUUUGGGACAUAAAUAUGAUGAAGAAAUAAAUGACACACAUUCUUGCACUUCUGUUAAGUAAAUCCAGUCAAACAAUAUUUAUCAAACAAUCCAUUCACAACAUUUUGCAAUAAUUCAUCACUUGAGUUAUUUGAUAUAUAAUUUUUCAUAUUUUUUGUCCUGCUCUUUAUAUAAGUAGGUCAGACAGUGUUUGUUUCAUAACUAAUUUCAUUAACUUUUUGAGCUCCAUGUUGCUUAAAUUAUUUAUGGGUCAUAUUUAUAUGUUAUUCAACCAUUCUGCUAAAAUGUAUGUAGCAUCUGCUGUGUUAGUCAGAAUGAACAUGCACAUACAGAUAUUUUCAGCUGUGGCAUCAAUCUGUCUUAAUCUCCCUGGAUGCAAACCAUACAGUAUUAUCUAAUUUACCACACAACUCUUGACAGCUUUGUUCCUGAUUAAAGUUCAAGUCUGUGCUUUCUAAUUAAAGCUUUAUGAGCAGGUUAACUGCACUUUGAAUUCAUUUAUAACAACCUAAGACAUGACAAAAAUAUUAGCUGCAGCUAAAUUUGUUACAAGUGGAAAUUAACUGUGUUUUACCCAGAUUCUGGUAAUAAUGAGAUAGUAUCAUCAGAGGCAACCUUAACAAGAAAAACUGGCUACCAUAGCUGAGCUACAACAAAUGAGGCUUUCAUUUGUAAUGUAUUCAGGUAAAAGAAAACUGCAGGCUACUUUUAAAUAGAUGUGUGGCCUGCAUUUGCAGAGAAGCUUUCACCCUUUAGGAGCCUCCUGGUGCUUUACAAGCUUUACUCCCUCUUCUCUGUUUUUAGGACUCGAUUGUGCUCUGCUUCCUGCACAGCUAUACAAGCUGGAGAGACCCCUUGCCCCUGUGUCAUGGGCCUACUGAGAGACUGAAUGGUAUCAGUUCCUGAGCUCACCUGAGGAAUAGGACUGUGUGAAGCAAGUGUGCAGAUAGCACCACUGCUCAGUAUUUCAUAACACUGGCCUGUUGUACCAGCUGUCUCAAAGCAGUCGUGCACCACGUACCCUUUGUAGAAGUAUGACUCAGAUGGUUUCUUAGCCCCACAAAUCUUUUUUAAUACUAUUGCUUGUACUCCAGUCCUACUCCACUGACAUCAGUGUCCCCACUGCACCCAGCCAAGGAGACAAGACAAGAAGAAGAAUGGGAAGUGUGUGAGCAUUUUCUUAGCAACAUCAACAGACUGCUUCCGGUUUUCUAGCGCUGCUCAGGAUGGUUACAGUCUCCAAAGCUGUCUUCUCUCUCAUGGUCUGUGCAAGAAAAACCCAGAACAGGAAGUAUGUUGGGUGCAAGGUACAUUUUAGCAGCAGAACUAAAACCACCAACAUCAACUCUAAAAAACAGAUGGCUGAGAAAAGUAAAAUAUAGUUCAUUCAGGAAGCUCAUAUGUGGCACAUUAGUAUUUUAAUAAUGUGGUUAGGUAUGCAGUUUUGAAACAAAACUCGGGCCAAACUCAUGUGACAGCUCUAAUGUGAUUUGAAAACCCUGGGUUAUUUCUCCUUCUGUCUCCAGUGCUAUCAUGUGUAAAUUUAGUGCAUCUUAGUACUUUUGGGGUCUGGCUGACACUAAAAGCCCUGUGGGAAAACCCUUUUCUGAAUAUGAAUCUUAAUAGAGAACAAACACUGCAGCUCAACCUUGUAAUACUUCAGAGAUUUUAGGUGGUCCAAGCCAGAUCACCUUACUCAGAUAACACAACAAACUUCAGUGUCAGUGGAACUAAUUGUGUCCACAAGGAAAAUAUGGCCCUUUGCUUUCAUUGAAAUUUUCCAUUUUCAUUUUUCUUCAACAAAAAUAAUUCUAAAAUAAGUGAUUUUUUCCACUUUUGCAAAAAUUUUCGCAGAGGAAAUUGAUAAUUUCCCCAUCUCCUAUAUGCAAGUCCAUUUGCAACGCAAAAAGGAUAAGACCAGUAGAACCACAGAAUCAUAGAAAAUUAGGGUUGGAAGAGACCUCAGGAGGUCAUCAGUUAGUGUGAGUAUUUCAAAGGUUCAUUAGCUCAGGAGUAGGAGCUAUCACAUUCAUCAGUGAAGCUAAACAUAUAUUCCCAUGUCCUUGCCUUAACCCUCCUAUCACAUAAACUGACAUAUUGAAAAAGUGCACGGAUCAUUUUGAAGGAAGCACAUAGUCACGAUUGCUUCUAUAUGAGAAUGUGGUUAGGGGCUGUACUGAAAAGUGGUUUUAACUGAAAGGAUGAGUACUACUCUGAAUUCCAGCAAGUCACUGCAAGUCCAAAUUUUUUAGCAGCAAUCUCAUAGCAGUUCCAGUCUGCACUGAAUAUGCUUUGAAACAAGCCCCACGUAAAAUUUAACCGUCUCACCCCUCAGGAGUACUUUUUCUUGAGAAAUAUUAACAUACAUGUGGAUUGCAAACACAGUGUUUUGCUGUGGUUUUAAAUGAUAAACAUCCCUCAAAUUCAGGGCAGUCAGGAUUUUGGAUUUGAGGCAAAUUAGUGCUAUUUAUGAAAUUGAAUUGAUGCUGAGUUUUUAUGUGCCUCAAAGUCUGACUGUGCCCAUACCAUACCCAUGGUUUUUCUUCAGGCCCAUCUUUCAGUAAGUACAAUUCGUUUGCUUUCAAAGCUGUUUCUGUUCAUUGCUUGGCUUUGUUUUGUGAAGAUUUUCUGUUUUCAGUUCCGGUACAAUAAAUAAACUUGUACAUAUAAAGGUCAAUUUCAGGUCAAGCUAGUUUCUUUCUUGCAGUGUGGAAGGAAUGUUUUAUUCUGUAAAAACUAGUGAAUUGCAAAACAUUUUGAAAGGUGUACUAGAAAAGGAAUACUAGAGGUUAUUAAUCAGACCAUAUUGGGGGUUUAUUCUUGUAGGUGAGUAGUAUUAAUGUGUCUUAAAUGUGGUCAAAAUGCACUGCACCCCUGAAAUAAUCCAGGCAGUUACAUACCAGGCAAAAUGUAUCCCAUAGUUUGUUUCUUAAAGGCUGUUGUUAAAAUGAAUUGACAGAAUUAAGCACUUCAACUGUAGGGAAUAAAAUUAAAAUUUUCCCAGCUUUG